Molecule: long non-coding RNA, 745 nt
Filed under: Rattus norvegicus (Norway rat)
Lineage: Eukaryota; Metazoa; Chordata; Mammalia; Rodentia; Muridae
Description: long non-coding RNA NONRATT004045
Source: RNAcentral
CUGUACUAAGGAUCCAGCGGCUGCUCUGGGGCCUCCUGCCUGGUUACUGCACACUGACGGUCACUGCUGCACUACGGGCAAGAGCCAGGGAUUGUACAUUGUGACACCAAGAAGACUCCUGUUGGUUCAGGGGGAGGCAGCGGUAGCCAGCCUGAGACGAAUAUUACUGUUUCUCUCAUAUGAAGAAUCUGGACUUCUUAAAUCAUAAAUAUAUGUGGCAUGUCAGUAGACGAGGGUGAAGACCUGUGGCGGGGAAAAGGACAGACACGAGAAGGUCUACCCUCCUACCCUUGUGCCCUCCCUGCAAAAAGAAAAAAUACAACAAGACCAAUUUGUGUUGCCAAUAUACUCACUGGAGUAUGGUCAAGCUCCCAGUGGCCAGCCACUUAAAGGUAACUUAGUCCUUCCCCACCCCCUUCUAAGUCCUUCCCCACACCCCUGAGUCCUUCCCCACUCCCCUCUGAGUCCUUCCCCAUUCCCUCUGAAGCCAUCAAUUGUGAACAGCUACACUUUAGCCAAUUGGUCACCGGUUUUUAAGGACUCUCUUCAAAGGCAUCCUAUCUAGAUUGCUUCUUUUUUUUUUUUCUUUUUUCUUGGGGGGAUCAUCACAUGUGUGGUCACAUGUUUCUCAUUCUCAACUAUAAGUCCACAGUCAUAGAUACCACUGCAAAAGAAGCUUCCUAGUCCAUAGAAGCCGGCAGCUGCACAGAUCAUGGACUUCCACAUGGUUUCCUGCGGCAGCAUA